GACGAACGCUGGCGGCGUGCCUAAUACAUGCAAGUAGAACGCUGAAACUUGGUGCUUGCACCGAGCGGAUGAGUUGCGAACGGGUGAGUAACGCGUAGGUAACCUGCCUGGUAGCGGGGGAUAACUAUUGGAAACGAUAGCUAAUACCGCAUAAGAGUAGAUGUUGCAUGACAUUUGCUUAAAAGGUGCAAUUGCACCACUACCAGAUGGACCUGCGUUGUAUUAGCUAGUUGGUGGGGUAACGGCUCACCAAGGCGACGAUACAUAGCCGACCUGAGAGGGUGGUUGGCCAAACUGGGACUUGGAAACGGCCCAGACUCCUACGGGAGGCAGCAGUAGGGAAGCUUCGGCCAUGGACGGAAGUCUGACCGAGCAACGCCGCGUGAGGGAAGAAGGUUUUCGGAUCGUAAAGCUCUGUUGUAAGAGAAGAACGAGUGUGAGAGUGGAAAGUUCACACUGUGACGGUAUCUUAACAGAAAGGGACGGCUAACUACGUG
RNAcentral lists this ribosomal RNA (497 nucleotides) under uncultured bacterium. Its description in RNAcentral is "partial 16S ribosomal RNA". It matches the Rfam family "Bacterial small subunit ribosomal RNA", at positions 28 to 507 of the family's 1533-position model. The record is from RNAcentral.